This 253-nucleotide ribosomal RNA is filed under the name uncultured bacterium. RNAcentral describes it as "partial 16S ribosomal RNA". It matches the Rfam family "Bacterial small subunit ribosomal RNA", at positions 524 to 776 of the family's 1533-position model. The record is from RNAcentral.
UACAGAGGGUGCAAGCGUUAAUCGGAAUUACUGGGCGUAAAGCGUGCGUAGACGGUUAUGUAAGUCGGGUGUGAAAGCCCCGGGCUCAACCUGGGAAUUGCAUUCGAGACUGCAUAGCUAGGGUGCGGAAGAGGGAAGCGGAAUUUCCGGUGUAGCGGUGGAAUGCGUAGAGAUCCGGAAGAACACCGGUGGCGAAGGCGGCCUGCUGGGCAGUAGCUGACACUGAGGCGCGACAGCGUGGGGAGCAAACAGG